Molecule: long non-coding RNA, 126 nt
Organism: Aquila chrysaetos chrysaetos
Lineage: Eukaryota; Metazoa; Chordata; Aves; Accipitriformes; Accipitridae
Exons: 2
Source: RefSeq, a predicted model, not a curated record
AAUUGUGUGCAGAGUUACCUACUGAUGGUCCUACAGUAUUUACGGAUGGCAGUGGAAAAACAGGAAAGGCAGUAGUAGUUUGGAAAGAAGGUCAGAAAAUGGGCCAAAGUGGAUUCCAACUAAAUG